AGUCAGAGAGAACAUCUCUAGGACACACCACUCUCUCUUCUUUACAAAUCAUUAGCAUAGCCCAGAUUUCCAGUUCCAGCUUUUGGUCAAAGGUCUUCCCCAUUGCCUCCAGCCACAAUUUAAGCUCCUAGAAGAAGACCAGGCUGUCAUCCGGGACCAAGAGUACCCUGUGCUUCGUAAAUCAAAUUCAACAUUAAACUGCACUGCAAACAAAAAGUUGUACACAGUUGAAAUGCUGGUGAAUGGGACUUAAUGAGCUCCAUAUGCCUGACCUCUGGGAAGAAGUGAUUUGGGGAACUGUAGCUGGAACUGGAAGAGUCCAAGGGCAUCUGCAUCUGGUAUGCUGAGAUGUCAGUGUGCAUCACUGAGAAGCUUCAUUGUGAUACAAGUGACCAAUGUGAUACAAGCUGAAGGCAGCCAAUGUGAUACAAGCUGAAGGCAAUAGGAUGAAGAUUGAGUAUCUAGAAACCCAGAGACAUUUUGUGGCUUUGAUAGUGGAGGUCAUUAUGCUAAAGAUAGUGGAGCAGCUGAAGAAGGAGUUGCAGUGUCUGAUGACUGUGGGGUUGCAGUACCAACCCUGGACCAUCCAGCUCUAGACUUUCCUUUUUGUUUAAGUGUAGUAACAUACCUUGUUUAAGCCUCUGUUAUGUCUGUUUUCUGAUAUGACCAGUUUAUUGUAGAUUCUAACUGAGACACCUAGCAAUAUUGGUGGAAUUGUGAAGUUCAGUGGUCUGAGGGUGGUGAUGUCAGAAUCAGAAACCACAGUAAUUAAUCAUGUUUGAGUAACACUGCGCAACCCCCCCCCCACCCCCCGCCCAAGCUG
This is a long non-coding RNA of Dama dama (fallow deer), 823 nucleotides long. RefSeq lists it as uncharacterized. NCBI's taxonomy places the organism in Eukaryota, Metazoa, Chordata, Mammalia, Artiodactyla, Cervidae. The record is from RefSeq and is a predicted model, not a curated record. The transcript has 3 exons.